UUUGCUAUCAAAUUCUCUGAUAAGGUCAACACCUGUGGUCACUGUAUACAAUUGUAUGUAGGAGGUUAUUUGUCACGUAUAUAAUGCGGAUUCGGUUCGUAAAUAUCAAUAAUUCUGGAGAUAAUUCUAAUCAAAACAUCAAUAUGUCAUAUUAACUAUUAAGCCAGUCUCCCCUAUAUAUAAAACCGCUUCAAUGAAACGUUUAUAUAACAGUGCUCAUGUUGUCAAGGAAAACGCAGUCUCAUCGUAAACAUUGUAUUCAACAACAGUCUGAACAGAACUUUUCAAAAUAACAAUAAGGAUGACUAUUCCAAAUGAUGUAGAACCAAAUGUUCGGAAUCCAAAUAUUCCAUAUGAAACCUUUCGACGUAUGACAUUUUCAUUCACGUAUGAUGAACAGGAAAUAUUAGAUUUAUUCAAGUUAAAUAAUUCUAAUUUUAUACUUAAAGAAAUUUAUCUAAGUAUAAGCCUGGGAUCAAUAGCAAAACGUUAUUGUUCAUUGUUUUGCCUACGCAUUGAUGAAGAGAACAAUAAUUAUCAAAUCAAUUUGAUGGGACUUCAUCGUCAAUUUCAGACUAUUAUAGGUCUUCAAACAUAUAACCAAUUUAGUCGAUGUGUGAAAUGUCGUAAAUAUUUGACUGUUAUUAGUUUUAAUACGUCAUAUCCUGUAACAAGGGUUCCAUUUUACUCAUACGAGAUAAAACUGUCAGAGAUAGAUAUGACUCUAUAAUCCAUUCCAUUUCUAAUUUGGGUAAAUAUAAUAAUUACUAUAAACAUAGUUUGAUUUCAUUAAUAGUUUCCCAAUCGUAUGAUUAUACAAACAUUUCAGAUUUGGAAGAUAUUAUUUAUAAUCACAUCCACAUGAUAGAGUAAAAAAAUUACUUAUUCACAUACAUUUGGAUCACGGAUGAUGAAAGUACGAUAGUAACAUAGUGUUAUAGCUGUUAUUAACUUACAAUAUCUGGUCGCAUGAACAUAAUCAUUGAAUUGUAUAUUCGUAAAUUUUUAUAAGAAAUACCUUCUGAAGAUAAUGAUUUACUAUGAAAUACAAUGGGUUUCGUGUACAGAUGGUACCAGUUCCAGCAGCCUGUGAAAAGGCUCCAUGUUACGAUUGUUUACUCGAUCGUUUCAUGUGUCGCUAAAACAGCUCGUUAACAUUCUUAGUAAAUCUAAAUUUGGUUAUCCGAUGACUUCAACAUGGUGAAUUAAAUACAAUCUAUUCAAAACAUAUCAUAGUGGAUCAGAAUAUUUGGAAAAAUUAAAAAAACUAUAACUAUAAAUUACAGAAAAAAAAAAAUGCAAACAAAAGAAAAUUAAAAAAAAUAUAUAUAUUCUAAUGUUUCAAAGUUUACAUAGAGUAUAGAUUACAUAUUCUUUUAACUUGAAAAAUAAUAAAAUACCUGAUUUAUAUUUAUAUUUUUUCACACAUUUCGCUAAGCAAAAAAAAACUGAAUAAAAAGUGAAUUAUAUUGUACAGUGUAUUUAAAUAAUCAAUCACUGAUAUUAUCACAGUUUUAUAUAUUUUGAAAAUAUAAAAAAACAGUAACUAUAUUAUGAAGUUAACAAUGAAAACAUAAGUACUAAAAGAAAAUAGUCAAAGAACUGAUUAUUAUUACCGAUAAUUAUGAAGUACCUAAAAUUAAUUUAUAAAUAUAUAGGAAAAUAUAUAUUAAAUAUAAAAAUUGACUAAACUGUGUACAAAUCAUGAAAAAAAAAAACAAUAAUUAUAAAUUAAUCAAUUAUAAAAUAUGUUAAUAACAUGUUUGAUGACUGGUUAGCUAAACUUUACAAAAUAAUAAUAAUAAAAACGUACAAAGAUUACAUUUAGCUAAAAACAGAAUAAUAUUAUUAUACAAACGAAUGUAUAAGAAGUUGCCUAUAGAGACCCCUCAAUAAAAA
Acyrthosiphon pisum (pea aphid) is the source of this 1899-nucleotide RNA transcript. RefSeq lists it as uncharacterized. The transcript is spliced from 3 exons. The record is from RefSeq and is a predicted model, not a curated record. Lineage: Eukaryota; Metazoa; Arthropoda; Insecta; Hemiptera; Aphididae.